Molecule: small nucleolar RNA, 75 nt
Organism: Propithecus coquereli (Coquerel's sifaka)
Lineage: Eukaryota; Metazoa; Chordata; Mammalia; Primates; Indriidae
Source: Ensembl
UGGGCCACUGAUGAGUACCAUGGGGUAUCUGAAAUAGGAUCUUUGAUUAAACCCAUAUAUAACUCUGAGGUCCAU